This 1506-nucleotide ribosomal RNA is filed under the name Salmonella enterica subsp. enterica serovar Thompson. RNAcentral's name for it is "partial 23S ribosomal RNA". It matches the Rfam family "Bacterial large subunit ribosomal RNA", at positions 1441 to 2925 of the family's 2925-position model. The record is from RNAcentral. RNAcentral also lists the same sequence under 8 other names. Lineage: Bacteria; Pseudomonadati; Pseudomonadota; Gammaproteobacteria; Enterobacterales; Enterobacteriaceae.
GUACUUGGUGUUACUGCGAAGGGGGGACGGAGAAGGCUAUGUUGGCCGGGCGACGGUUGUCCCGGUUUAAGCGUGUAGGUGUGUGUUCCAGGUAAAUCCGGUUCACUUUAACACUGAGGCGUGAUGACGAGGCACUACGGUGCUGAAGCAACAAAUGCCCUGCUUCCAGGAAAAGCCUCUAAGCAUCAGGUAACAUCAAAUCGUACCCCAAACCGACACAGGUGGUCAGGUAGAGAAUACCAAGGCGCUUGAGAGAACUCGGGUGAAGGAACUAGGCAAAAUGGUGCCGUAACUUCGGGAGAAGGCACGCUGACACGUAGGUGAAGUGAUUUACUCAUGGAGCUGAAGUCAGUCGAAGAUACCAGCUGGCUGCAACUGUUUAUUAAAAACACAGCACUGUGCAAACACGAAAGUGGACGUAUACGGUGUGACGCCUGCCCGGUGCCGGAAGGUUAAUUGAUGGGGUCAGCGCAAGCGAAGCUCCUGAUCGAAGCCCCGGUAAACGGCGGCCGUAACUAUAACGGUCCUAAGGUAGCGAAAUUCCUUGUCGGGUAAGUUCCGACCUGCACGAAUGGCGUAAUGAUGGCCAGGCUGUCUCCACCCGAGACUCAGUGAAAUUGAACUCGCUGUGAAGAUGCAGUGUACCCGCGGCAAGACGGAAAGACCCCGUGAACCUUUACUAUAGCUUGACACUGAACAUUGAGCCUUGAUGUGUAGGAUAGGUGGGAGGCUUUGAAGCGUGGACGCCAGUCUGCGUGGAGCCGACCUUGAAAUACCACCCUUUAAUGUUUGAUGUUCUAACGUGGACCCGUAAUCCGGGUUGCGGACAGUGUCUGGUGGGUAGUUUGACUGGGGCGGUCUCCUCCUAAAGAGUAACGGAGGAGCACGAAGGUUGGCUAAUCCUGGUCGGACAUCAGGAGGUUAGUGCAAUGGCAUAAGCCAGCUUGACUGCGAGCGUGACGGCGCGAGCAGGUGCGAAAGCAGGUCAUAGUGAUCCGGUGGUUCUGAAUGGAAGGGCCAUCGCUCAACGGAUAAAAGGUACUCCGGGGAUAACAGGCUGAUACCGCCCAAGAGUUCAUAUCGACGGCGGUGUUUGGCACCUCGAUGUCGGCUCAUCACAUCCUGGGGCUGAAGUAGGUCCCAAGGGUAUGGCUGUUCGCCAUUUAAAGUGGUACGCGAGCUGGGUUUAGAACGUCGUGAGACAGUUCGGUCCCUAUCUGCCGUGGGCGCUGGAGAACUGAGGGGGGCUGCUCCUAGUACGAGAGGACCGGAGUGGACGCAUCACUGGUGUUCGGGUUGUCAUGCCAAUGGCACUGCCCGGUAGCUAAAUGCGGAAGAGAUAAGUGCUGAAAGCAUCUAAGCACGAAACUUGCCCCGAGAUGAGUUCUCCCUGAGACUUAGAGUCUCCUGAAGGAACGUUGAAGACGACGACGUUGAUAGGCCGGGUGUGUAAGCGCAGCGAUGCGUUGAGCUAACCGGUACUAAUGAACCGUGAGGCUUAACCUU